GCUUUCACUUAACAUUUUAAAUCUUAAACAUAACUAAGUCUUAAUACAUUUUAAGCCAGAGAUCAUACAGAUUAAGUCUCAGUCUCCAACGCAGCCCAAGAGAGGGGAACGAACUUGCGCAUAAAGUUGCCAAAGUCAAGAAUCUAGAUCAACUUCCCAGCAAUUUGUAUCUUCCCCCGCCGAAUUCCGUCGAAGGCAUCAUCAGGAAGGAACAACGCAUCACAAGGAGCCGCAGGCAGCAUCACCAGUCUCACCGUACCGAGCGUCAAUGAAGACGUCUAGCUCCACGGCGCCUUAUCAAUCAGCGGCAACACCUAUGCAGCGCUCUAGCAUCGAUCGUUGUCCUCUCCGGUCCUAGCUUGCAGCUGAUGCUAUCAAAGCAACCUUUCCACUUUCAGGAUGGGUAGCCAUUGAGACCGCCUCGAACAUUUUGGGUAGCAACGGCGGAUGGGUUCCAUGUUGGAACUUGGAAGCCGGUACCUUCCUCAGCCUCAGCGAUUUCUAUCUCAAUGGAAGCAUCAUCCUCGCCAUAUCAACUUGUUCAAAAGCGCCUUAUUGUUUCCUCCUUCGCUGUUUUGUUUUGUUUUUUGUUAUUAGGUGGGUAUUAAUUUCAAAGCACGGGAUGCUUGUAGCCUUAGGAUGUAAUCUCGGGUUGGGAAGGGUGUUAUUGUUUUCGGUGUGGGUCGGGUCCUCGGGCCCAAGCCCAUACAAAAAAAAAAGCUCCGCAUAUUGGGGAUUAGGGGUUUUAAUUCCACCCAACAAACAGAACUAGGGUUUUAACGCCUCCCCUAUAUAACCUCUUUGGUAUCAUCACCACCAAUCUCAGUGUUGUUAUAGUUGUGCAGUUUGCAAGGCCAAGAGGUUCUAAGCUCAGCUUAGAAGAAUACUAUGGAGAUGAAUUAAGAAAUAACAUUCUAAUGGACUAGAACAGAAGCAAAGAGGAGGCAAACCUUGCUGGACCACUUAAGGAUUAAAGGCUGGAUAUUGACAUUUUUUUUAGAUAUAGGUAAUUAGGUAUCUGAAUGUGAAGGGGCUUAUUCAAUUAUAUUGUAAUCGUCACGAUUAAGGUUUUUUGUUUUGGCUGUUGGUUUGCUAUUUAUUACCAUCACUGUAUAAGAAUAUGUAUACAUUUCCUAUAAUAAAAUGUCAAUUUGGUUGCAAUUUUGAAUAUGGA
Arachis ipaensis is the source of this 1174-nucleotide long non-coding RNA. RefSeq lists it as uncharacterized. The record is from RefSeq and is a predicted model, not a curated record. NCBI's taxonomy places the organism in Eukaryota, Viridiplantae, Streptophyta, Magnoliopsida, Fabales, Fabaceae.